CCUACGGGUGGCAGCAGUGAGGAAUAUUGGUCAAUGGACGCAAGUCUGAACCAGCCAUGCCGCGUGCAGGAUGACGGCUCUAUGAGUUGUAAACUGCUUUUGUACGAGGGUAAACCCCGAUACGUGUAGCGGGUUGAAAGGAGCGUACGAAUAAGGAUCGGCUAACUCCGUGCCAGCAGCCGCGGUAAUACGGAGGAUCCGAGCGUUAUCCGGAUUUAUUGGGUGUAAGGGGUGCGUAGGCGGUUUGAUAAGUUAGAGGUGACAUGUCGGGGCUCAACCCCGACACUGCCUCUAAUACGGUUGGCCUAGCGCAUAGUUGCGGUAGGCGGAGUGUAUGGUGUAGCGGUGAAAUGCUUCGAGAUCAUACAGCACUCCGAUUGCG
Molecule: ribosomal RNA, 382 nt
Filed under: uncultured bacterium
Lineage: Bacteria
Description: partial 16S ribosomal RNA
Rfam family: Bacterial small subunit ribosomal RNA
Source: RNAcentral